AAUCAACGCUGGCGGCGUGCCUCAGACAUGCAAGUCGAACGCGAAAUUUCCCUUCGGGGAGAAAGUAGAGUGGCGCACGGGUGAGUAACACGUAGGUAAUUUGCCUUUGGGUGGGGAAUAACUCAGGGAAACUUGAGCUAAUACCGCAUAAUGCAGCGGCUCGACAUCGAGACAGUUGUUAAAGCGGGGGAUCGCAAGACCUCGCGCCUAAAGAGAAGCCUGCGGCAGAUUAGCUAGUUGGUAAGGUAAUGGCUUACCAAGGCUACGAUCUGUAACCGGCCUGAGAGGGCGGUCGGUCACACUGACACUGACAUACGGGUCAGACUCCUACGGGAGGCAGCAGUCGGGAAUUUUGGGCAAUGGGCGAAAGCCUGACCCAGCAACGCCGCGUGAAGGAUGAAAUUUUUCGGAAUGUAAACUUCGCAAGAACAGGAAGAAUAAGUAGGGGACAAUACCCCUAUGAUGACGGUACUGUUUGUAAGCUCCGGCUAACUCCGUGCCAGCAGCC
Molecule: ribosomal RNA, 508 nt
Filed under: uncultured bacterium
Lineage: Bacteria
Description: bacterial SSU rRNA
Rfam family: Bacterial small subunit ribosomal RNA
Source: RNAcentral